UGGCGGCAGGCCUAACACAUGCAAGUCGAGCGCUCACUUCGGUGGGAGCGGCGGACGGGUGAGUAACGCGUGGGAAUAUGCCCGGUACUAAGGAAUAGCCCUUGGAAACGAAGAGUAAUACCUUAUACGCCCUUCGGGGGAAAGAUUUAUCGGUAUCGGAUUAGCCCGCGUAAGAUUAGAUAGUUGGUGGGGUAAUGGCCUACCAAGUCUACGAUCUUUAGCUGGUUUUAGAGGAUGAUCAGCAACACUGGGACUGAGACACGGCCCAGACUCCUACGGGAGGCAGCAGUGGGGAAUCUUAGACAAUGGGCGCAAGCCUGAUCUAGCCAUGCCGCGUGAGUGAAGAAGGCCUUAGGGUCGUAAAACUCUUUCGCCAGAGAUGAUAAUGACAGUAUCUGGUAAAGAAACCCCGGCUAACUCCGUGCCAGCAGCCGCGGUAAUACGGAGGGGGUUAGCGUUGUUCGGAAUUACUGGGCGUAAAGCGCACGUAGGCGGACUGGAAAGUUGGGGGUGAAAUCCCGGGGCUCAACCUCGGAACUGCCUCCAAAACUAUCAGUCUAGAGUUCGAGAGAGGUGAGUGGAAUUCCAAGUGUAGAGGUGAAAUUCGUAGAUAUUUGGAGGAACACCAGUGGCGAAGGCGGCUCACUGGCUCGAUACUGACGCUGAGGUGCGAAAGUGUGGGGAGCAAACAGGAUUAGAUACCCUGGUAGUCCACACCGUAAACGAUGAAUGCCAGUCGUCGGCAAGUAUACUUGUCGGUGACACACCUAACGGAUUAAGCAUUCCGCCUGGGGAGUACGGGUCGCAAGAUUAAAACUCAAAGGAAUUGACGGGGGCCCGCA
Molecule: ribosomal RNA, 842 nt
Filed under: uncultured marine bacterium
Lineage: Bacteria
Description: bacterial SSU rRNA
Rfam family: Bacterial small subunit ribosomal RNA
Source: RNAcentral